This 296-nucleotide unclassified non-coding RNA is filed under the name soil metagenome. Its description in RNAcentral is "partial contains small subunit ribosomal RNA, internal transcribed spacer 1, and 5.8S ribosomal RNA". The record is from RNAcentral.
UUUCCGUAGGUGAACCUGCGGAAGGAUCAUUAUUGAAUAAACCUGAUGUGGUUGAGCUGACUCCUUCGGGAGUAUGUGCUCGCUCGUCAUCUUUAUUUUUCCACCUGUGCACUUUUUGUAGAUUUGGAUGUAACUGUCCGAGGCAACUCGGUUGGGAGGAAUGCUAUCUUUGAUGGCUUUCCUUGUAUGUUCAAACUCUAUGUUUUUCAUAUACUCCAAGUAUGUAACAGAAUGUAUCACUGGGCCUUGUGCCUAUAAACUAUAUACAACUUUCAGCAACGGAUCUCUUGGCUCUC